Molecule: unclassified non-coding RNA, 262 nt
Filed under: uncultured Penicillium
Lineage: Eukaryota; Fungi; Ascomycota; Eurotiomycetes; Eurotiales; Aspergillaceae
Description: sequence contains 5.8S rRNA gene
Rfam family: 5.8S ribosomal RNA (bases 1-53)
Source: RNAcentral
GAACGCACAUUGCGCCCCCUGGUAUUCCGGGGGGCAUGCCUGUCCGAGCGUCAUUGCUGCCCUCAAGCACGGCUUGUGUGUUGGGCCCCCGCCCCCCGGCUCCCGGGGGGCGGGCCCGAAAGGCAGCGGCGGCACCGCGUCCGGUCCUCGAGCGUAUGGGGCUUUGUCACUCGCUCGUGUAGGUCCGGCCGGCGCCAGCCGACACCCAUCAAUCUUACCCAGGUUGACCUCGGAUCAGGUAGGGAUACCCGCUGAACUUAAG